GAUGAACGCUGGCGGCGUGCCUAAUACAUGCAAGUCGAGCGAACAGACGAGGAGCUUGCUCCUCUGACGUUAGCGGCGGACGGGUGAGUAACACGUGGAUAACCUACCUAUAAGACUGGGAUAACUUCGGGAAACCGGAGCUAAUACCGGAUAAUAUAUUGAACCGCAUGGUUCAAUAGUGAAAGACGGUUUUGCUGUCACUUAUAGAUGGAUCCGCGCCGCAUUAGCUAGUUGGUAAGGUAACGGCUUACCAAGGCAACGAUGCGUAGCCGACCUGAGGGGGUGAUCGGCCACACUGGAACUGAGACACGGUCCAGACUCCAACGGGAGGCAGCAGUAGGGAAUCUUCCGCAAUGGGCGAAAGCCUGACGGAGCAACGCCGCGUGAGUGAUGAAGGUCUUCGGAUCGUAAAACUCUGUUAUUAGGGAAGAACAAAUGUGUAAGUAACUAUGCACGUCUUGACGGUACCUAAUCAGAAAGCCACGGCUAACUACGUG
RNAcentral lists this ribosomal RNA (497 nucleotides) under uncultured bacterium. RNAcentral's name for it is "partial 16S ribosomal RNA". It matches the Rfam family "Bacterial small subunit ribosomal RNA", at positions 28 to 507 of the family's 1533-position model. The record is from RNAcentral.